RNAcentral lists this ribosomal RNA (390 nucleotides) under Triticum aestivum (bread wheat). Its description in RNAcentral is "partial small subunit ribosomal RNA". Lineage: Eukaryota; Viridiplantae; Streptophyta; Magnoliopsida; Poales; Poaceae. The record is from RNAcentral.
CUGAAGUUCACAUAUGUGCUGGCUGGCUGGGAGGGGUCAACGCAUGAUGCUAACAUUCUUAGUGACAGUAUGAGUCGACCUGAUGGGAUCAACAUCCCCGACGACAAGUUCUACCUUGGAGAUGCUGGCUAUGCAUGUCGGCCAGGUAUUCUUUCACCUUUCAGGAAAACCAGGUACCAUCUCAACGAGUUCUCUGGUAGGAACUAUCCUAGGACUGCACAGGAGCUGUUUAAUCUCAGACACUCCAGCCUUAGAGUAACUGUUGGGAGGGCAUUUGGAGCUCUGAAGAAUAGGUUUAAGAUCCUAGAUCAGAAGCCAUUCCACCCAUACUCCACUCAGGUUAAGCUUGUUAUCGCUUGUUGCAUUCUGCAUAACUGGAUCCUCCAGUGA